AGCAGCCGCGGUAAUUCCAGCUCCAAUAGCGUAUAUUAAAGUUGCUGCAGUUAAAAAGCUCGUAGUUGAAUUUCGGGAUCAAUAUGUUGGUCGUGCCUCGGUACGUACUAGCUUAUUGGUUUCUCCCUUCUGACGAACCAUGAUGUCAUUUAUUUGGUGUUAUGGGAAAUCAGGACUGUUACUUUGAAAAAAUUAGAGUGUUUAAAGCAGGCCCACGCUUGAAUACAUUAGCAUGGAAUAAUGAAAUAGGACGUUUGAUUCUAUUUUGUUGGUUUCUAGGAUCGACGUAAUGAUUAAUAGGGAUAGUUGGGGGCAUUAGUAUUCAAUUGUCAGAGGUGAAAUUCUUGGAUUUAUUGAAGACUAACUACUGCGAAAGCAUUUGCCAAGGAUGUUUUCAUUAAUCAAGAACGAAAGUUAGGGGAUCGAAGACGAUCAGAUACCGUCGUAGUCUUAACCAUAAACUAUAGCCGACUAGGGAUCGGAUGAUGUUAAUUUUUUAAUGACUCA
This 507-nucleotide ribosomal RNA is filed under the name uncultured Glomeraceae. Its description in RNAcentral is "SSU rRNA". It matches the Rfam family "Eukaryotic small subunit ribosomal RNA", at positions 569 to 1078 of the family's 1831-position model. Lineage: Eukaryota; Fungi; Glomeromycota; Glomeromycetes; Glomerales; Glomeraceae. The record is from RNAcentral.